UGCAGGAAGCACUUAGAGUGAUGCCGAGGGCCUCUUCAGCACUCUAGUGACAUCGGUCAUCUUCUCUUUCCUUUCCCAGCCCUGCGAGUGCCGUCUUUGAUGUGCUCACAGCGUUUUGAAGACAUUAUAGACUCCAUCUACACCACCCAUGAAGCAUUUGGA
This 162-nucleotide long non-coding RNA is filed under the name Chinchilla lanigera (long-tailed chinchilla). Its description in RNAcentral is "lncRNA (ENSCLAG00000024383.1)". Lineage: Eukaryota; Metazoa; Chordata; Mammalia; Rodentia; Chinchillidae. The record is from RNAcentral.